Molecule: ribosomal RNA, 441 nt
Filed under: uncultured Alphaproteobacteria bacterium
Lineage: Bacteria; Pseudomonadati; Pseudomonadota; Alphaproteobacteria
Description: bacterial SSU rRNA
Rfam family: Bacterial small subunit ribosomal RNA
Source: RNAcentral
CAGGCCUAACACAUGCAAGUCGAACGCCUGUAGCAAUACAGGAGUGGCGCACGGGUGAGUAACACGAUGGGAACCUACCCUGGAGUGGGGGAUAACCGAGGGAAACCUCGGCUAAUACCGCAUACGACCUGAGGGUGAAAGAUUUAUCGCUCUAGGAGGGGCCCGCGUCGGAUUAGCUAGUUGGUGAGGUAACGGCUCACCAAGGCAAUGAUCCGUAGCUGGUCUGAGAGGAUGAUCAGCCACACUGGGACUGAGACACGGCCCAGACUCCUACGGGAGGCAGCAGUGGGGAAUAUUGGACAAUGGGGGCAACCCUGAUCCAGCAAUGCCGCGUGAGUGAUGAAGGCCUUAGGGUUGUAAAGCUCUUUCGGCGGGGACGAUGAUGACGGUACCGCAAGAAUAAGCCCCGGCUAACUUCGUGCCAGCAGCCGCGGUAAUACA